GCUCAACUUAUACUUUGCUUCAUUGUUGUCUUUCUGAAUGAAGCGUUCAUCAGACUGCCAACUCCAGGUGGCAACAGAAAUGAGGGCGUGGUCUGUAAGAAUGAUAAUUUUGUCAAGGAACACACACGCACAGACUCAUACGUUUGAUUGUCCGAAGAAGCCUGACAAUUCACUUCAGCUGUUCUUGUGAACGGGAAUGAAUUCACGGGAGUUCAUUUUGUGAUUUUUUUUGAAGACUACGUAUCUUUUCCAAGCAUGGUUCAGAAGGUAGCCGUGAUUGGCGCCGGGAUGUCAGGCCUGACCAGCAUCAAAUCCUGUUUGGAAGAAGGUCUUGAGCCCACCUGCUUUGAGAGCGGUCCUGACAUCGGCGGUCUAUGGAGAUUUAAGGAGGAACCGGAGCCUGGACGGGCCAAUA
This is a long non-coding RNA of Hippocampus comes (tiger tail seahorse), 415 nucleotides long. RefSeq lists it as uncharacterized. The record is from RefSeq and is a predicted model, not a curated record. The transcript is spliced from 3 exons. Lineage: Eukaryota; Metazoa; Chordata; Actinopteri; Syngnathiformes; Syngnathidae.